GAAGCCUCAAAUGAAGAACUUAAAAAACAGAUAUUGGAAGCAGAAAAUAGAGCUUCUAACUCUUCCUCAGAAAAGGAACUCUUAGUUGAGACAAACAAUCAGCUCAAAAGCAAGGUCAAUGAACUUCAGGAAUUUCUAAAUUCUGCUGUUUCUGAGAAGGAAGCCUCGUGUCAACAAAUUGCUUCACACAUGAACACUAUUACAGAAUUAUCAGACAGGCACUCAAGGGCUCUAGAACUUCAUUCAGAAACUGAGACCCGGAUGGUUCAUGUGGAGACACAGUUACAAGAGGCCAUUCAGAGACUGACUCAGAAAGAUGCAGAAACAAAAGAUUUGAAUGAGAAGCUAAAUGCACUUGAAGGGCG
Molecule: unclassified non-coding RNA, 365 nt
Filed under: Hevea brasiliensis (rubber tree)
Lineage: Eukaryota; Viridiplantae; Streptophyta; Magnoliopsida; Malpighiales; Euphorbiaceae
Source: RNAcentral